GAUGAACGCUAGCGGCAGGCCUAACACAUGCAAGUCGAGGGGUAGAGUGGUUCGGCCACUUGAGACCGGCGCACGGGUGCGUAACGCGUAUGCAAUCUACCUUGUACAGGGGGAUAGCCCAGAGAAAUUUGGAUUAAUACCCCAUGGUGUUUAAGAGUGGCAUCACUUUUUUACUAAAGUUUAGGCGGUACAAGAUGAGCAUGCGUCCCAUUAGCUAGUUGGUAUGGUAACGGCAUACCAAGGCUACGAUGGGUAGGGGUCCUGAGAGGGAGAUCCCCCACACUGGUACUGAGACACGGACCAGACUCCUACGGGAGGCAGCAGUGAGGAAUAUUGGUCAAUGGUCGGAAGACUGAACCAGCCAUGCCGCGUGCAGGAAGACGGUCCUAUGGAUUGUAAACUGCUUUUGUACAGGAAGAAACACUCCCUCGUGAGGGAGCUUGACGGUACUGUAAGAAUAAGGAUCGGCUAACUCCGUG
This 479-nucleotide ribosomal RNA is filed under the name uncultured bacterium. RNAcentral's name for it is "bacterial SSU rRNA". It matches the Rfam family "Bacterial small subunit ribosomal RNA", at positions 28 to 507 of the family's 1533-position model. The record is from RNAcentral.